AGGAUACCAUUGGCCUUCUUGCCUACAAGGGCACACUGCUGGCUCAUGGCCAACCUACUGUCCACCAGAACACUCGGGUUCUUCUCCACAGAGCUCCUUUCCAGUAAGUCAGCCCUUACCACACGUGCAUGCUGUUAUUCCUCCCCAGGUGCAAGACUCUACACUUGCUCUUGUUAAACCUCAUCAGGUUCCAAAUCUCCAGUUUGUCCAGGUCUUGUUGAAUGACAGCACAGCCUUUCAGUGUGACAGCCACUACCCCCAGCUUUGAAUCAUCAGCAUAUUUGCUGAGAUCAGGGUCCCUAAGUAUGAUUUAUAAGCAUAUCUUUGUAAUAAUUUUACAUAUCAGUGAGAUAUGUAAAUUUCUUAAAUCAACUUAGACUGAAGAUGAAAACAAAGUGUGGUUUGUUAGAGGAAUGUCCAAUAUAAAAUGAGAGACACAGUAUUCGAUAGCAACAGAGUUUGUGGAAAUGAAUGAAAAAAUUUAAGUAAGUUGCUUUGUGGGUUUCUUAAGCAUCAGUUUAGUAUGGAUAUACUUUAUUUUCCUUGUUAAUUUCCUGAAGUCCUUAUUUCUAACGUCUUUGUAAAUAAUAGGUGUUUGCAUGGCUGCAUGUCAAAACUAUAGAAAUAUUUGUCAUAGCCUGAUUUAUAUUAGGAAAUUUAAGAAUAGCUGUCAAUGGUUUCUGGGCCGAUUAGGCCCAGUUCUGAGAUUAAUGGGGCAGAGGGACUCAGACCCAUGCCCCAGGGAAUGUGAAAGGGGGGUAGAGAAAAGGUAGGGAGAUAGGCCGGUCAUAGUUCUGUGAUUUUUUGUUGUUGUUGGUAUUCCACAUCAUAACAUCACAUAAAGCACUGGCAGUUAAAGAGUUAACGUUCUGGUUCUGUGGACUGCCGUUUUUUGGUGCUUGGUUCUCGGAGGGGGAGGGGAGGAGCGGCAUUCCCCAGAGGUCUUUGUGCCUGGAGAGGGCUAGUGAAGCCGCCUGGCAGACCGGGAGUUUCUUCUCUUUGUUUUGCGGCGGCGAAGCACGUGGUUCCCCUGCAGCUUACAGAUUUCUGAGGAAUUGGAAAGCAUUACUUUGAGAGCAACCAACAUAUUUGAUAGAGGUCAUCAGUUUAGAAAGAGACUUGAAAACCAUAUUGGAAUGAACACAGCAGGAAUCAAGGAACUGGAGUUCUAAGUACAUUUGUGCAUCUAUGCCGAGCAACAGAAUAGAUGUAACAGACCAGUAUGCCCUCACAAAAAAUCUAUGGUAAAAAGAAUAUUUCCAGUGUUAUGUUAAAGAGAAGAUUUCCACACUGGAUGUCAGAGGAUAACAUUUUGGACAUAUAUCAACUAAAAAAUCAAACGAAGUCUGUGAAGCAUUAUGAGAGUAGCCUGCCAGUACUGCUGAUGUUAUGAUUGCAGGCACGCCUACUGAAAUCACUCAACCAAUUGAAGAAAGAGAAUGAGAUUUGGAUUAUAGGGUUUCAGAUAAUACUAAGUCCCUUGUGAAAGAUAUGUAUCUGUCAAGCUUAUGAUCACUGAAUGCAAUUCUGUCACAUUAAAAAAAUGAGAUGAGAUGACUGUGAACAAGGCCAAUGACACUGAGCUAUAGCAGGACAGAAUAAAGCAGAAGGUUUGAUAAUGAGAGAUUACACUUUCCAGCUAUUCUUGAGGACCAGAGGGAGGGAAUUAUUUGGUUUAUGCUGGCAGCAAUUUCCCUAAGCCAUGUGAGAUGGCAUACCUCAAGCUGUUGCAAAUGUAGGCAGAACAACCACAGGCCAUGGCUCUUGGUUGGAUUUAGAUUCCCUGGGGCAUAAAAUAUAUUGAAAAGGUUCCUAAAUAGGGGCUGAUCACUUAAUUUGACUGUUUGAAUGGAAGUCCCACAUAUUCUUCAAUCACUAACACUUGUUCACAGCUCCCUUGAAGUUUAAUAAUCACUUCUGAUUUUUUUUAAAUUAGAUUAGCUGCUCAUGGUUACAGUUUUACAACUGUAACAUAUCAAAUGUGUUAAGCAGUACUUACACGUUGUCCCCUUUUCUAGAUUCUGUAAAGCUGCAAUGAACAAAGGUUAUUAAGUUCCUGCUGUGUUCAAGUUUCCUACAGCUUCUUGACUUCUGAUGACUUCAGUUCAAGUCCCAGCUGGACUCCUGAUCAGCAGGGUAGCUGAUUUCCCAAUAAAGGGAGAGAGGAAAUGUGUAAACUUGUUGAAGUGCUCCACAAGCUCCAGCUUGCAAACCUCGCAGAGACUGCAGUCCAUCCAGCACACAGACUCUCACCUAAUACAACAUACUGUAAGUUGUGAAGAAAUGUGUUUAAGUAUAAAUAGUCUCUACUGGCUUCAGGAAGUAAAACUGUUCCCUUAGUUUAGUCAACAUAUUGCUUGCAGGGAAGCUGAGAGGCCAAUUUCCUAGGCUCACCAGUGAUUUCUCCCUGUAAAAUGAAAGUUAGCAAUAAUUGUGUGUAUAAUAUUGUCUAUUAGGUAGUGCAUAAAGGCUUGCAUUGUAUGUACAUACUGUAGUUGUAUAGAAAACAUUACAGAGUGAGCCUGCUUUUAGCUUGAUGCCUCAUACAGUGGUAAUUGAGGAGAACAGCCUUUUGAUUUGCUACUAUUUGCAGUUCUGCAGGAAAAACUAAGUUUAGGCUAUCUUGUGCUGUGCAUUGUUGCCCUGUUUAAUCUUCUGAUUCGCUAGGAACAAUUACAUGCGACACCUAUGGAGAAUUUAAUUGCUUAGCUCCUGCCUCUAUGGCAAUUGUAAUUACUUUGCAGUACUAUUUUGAAAAAAACUGUGGUGUUUUUUAGAACAUAGCACUGAAUAACACCAAGGUUAGAUUCAUACAACAGCAUAACUCCAAGAAUUAGCUUCCAGAAUUAACCCUGUGUUUCUUUUGAUGAGAGCUCAGGCAAAAUAAAGCAAUGGUUAUUGUAAAUAUCCUCAUGUAAAGCUUUCUAUACAAGCUCUUCAAAUGCAUUUAUCCACCAAAUAUAUGUGGGAGUUAGCACAGCGUCUUUUUUCCCCUCCUUUUCCAGCUGAGGAAACUAAGGCACAGAAAUGUGCUGCCUAAUUUGUCUUUAUGAAAAAUCCAAAGAAGGGAAAAUUAGUAUGUGAAAAAUUUUGGAUUUAUAGCAUUUUCAAGCUCCUUUUACUUCUCAUGGAUGUAGCUUUGAAAGAAACAUAAUAGGCAAAAAGAUGUGCCUUUUUAAGCUUUAAAACCCUAAAAAUUUCUGUAAAAUGGAACAUAAUAAAUAAAUGAAUAAAUGUUGCUGUGCACUAUUCCGCUGAUAAUUCCUGUUGAGCAGAAUCUAAGAUGUCAUUGUCUGCAUCAUCAUGAACAAUUCCAACCAAAGUGGUGUGUAGGCAGGACUAUCCUACUGCAUUCUGAAGGAAAUUUUAAAGAGCAUCCAAAGGGAAGUACUGUAUUAGAAUUUCAUUUCUUCAUCAUAGAAAAGAAAGAAUGAUCACUGCUUCAUUUGCAGUAAGGCAUUUUUAGUUCUUUGAUCAUCUAGAUUUUCCGAACUGAUCUUGAUGGCAAUUCAUUUAGAAAGUAAACUCUUGUUGGGAAGUCCUCCGGAAGCUUCAUGAGUUAACAGCUUUCAGAAGUGGAAUACAGAUCAAAAUCAGUAUGAGUUCUCCACAAAAAAGAGCCCAUUCUAUCUGAAAUAAAUGCACAUGACAUUUAACAGCAAUGCUGAGAUUUAUUUCUCACAAGUAAAAACUAAUCAUAUAGAAGUGAAAUUCUCUCACAAUUUUCUAUAGGUUUCUUGCUCACUUUCAAUAUCUGCUGUAGUCUCCUUUAAAUGAUAUACAACAUGGCCAAGCAUGCGACCUAUAGAUAUUGAAAAGGCAGCCCAUUACUUAGGUAUAAUUAUAUAAGAAAUAUACGUUUAAGAUAACUACUAGGUUUUUCUUUUUUCAGCCUAUCAAACGUAAGUUUAGUCAUGCCAGAGAAGGUAUAAUGCUAUAAUUGUCUGUAUGAAUCUUGGUAGCAUUUAGACAGCGUGCUGCAAAAGUGAAGGUGUACAGUACAUACCCCUGCAGAUCAGCUUCUGUGAUUAACCUGAGAAAUUUUGUAUGAGAAAAAAAGAAACUAAGAGAAAUGUGUUUUCUUCAGAUAAUUAUUAACUUCUUUUGAUACUGACAUCAAUGGUACUGACAAGAUUUCUUUGAAAGUCAAGAUUACCUUUCUUGAAGUUUUGCAUUCUUUGUCAUUAAAAGAAAAAACACCUACAUUGACAUUUUAAGCUUUUCCAAAGUUUCAUAUUAAAAAAGUAAAGGGUUUGAUUGAAAAUGCUUUGAAGGUCACAGGGAACUCAUCUCAUACAAGAGCCACUGUAAUUUUUUCCACACAAUCUAUCCUUUUUUUUUUUCCAGUUAGUAACUCUCUAAAUACAUUUAAUUAUGACAAUAGCUAGUCAUUUCACCGAAUUAGCAGCAGUUCCAUGUAAAAACUAUCCAUAUAUAUUCUCUCCAUCUUUUAUUAUGUUGCAAAAAACUUCAUCUGGACUUCUCGUAACUAAUGUGUGUUCAAAGCCAAUACGAUCAUCUCAUUUCAAGUCUUCUGAUCUCCCAGAGGAAUACAGGAACUGUUAUUUGAAGACCUGUUGUUUGCCAUUAUCUGGCAAAAAAUGUUUGACAGCUUCAAGUCACUUGAAGUUUUUGCUCCUUGAAUUCCUCAGUUCUAAAGUACAGAUAUUAUUAAACAAUAUUUGCAAAUUGCUUUUGAAUUCUGUUGUAGAUUUAAAGUCACUCUUGCCCUUACUGUACCCUAAAAUCAUGUUCAGACUUUGUUUCCUCUGAAUUUGCAUAUCUAAUCCUCAACAAACUUCAAACUGCAUCCCUUAUUUUAUAACGUGAACAGUGCAAGUAUAGUACAGAAGAGGCUCCAAACAGGGAAUCUUGAAUGCACUUUUAAAUAUGCUUUUCCACUGCAGAUAUUUGCAAAUGAAACCCUGCGAUGCAGCAUUUAAUUCCCACGAGAAGUGCUAUUCUCAUUAUAUCUUCUUCUGUAUACAAGCUUCUGCUGUGUUACUUGUAUUGCCAUUUUCAGCAGGGACUCAGAAGAGAGAAAGGAUAGAAACUCAGACAGAAUUACUAAACUGUAACACAAAGAUAAUGAACUCUAAUGCAACAGGACAGCAAAUUAAAAGACUGGGAAGUUGUUAGCCCAUGUAAAAAUAGAAGAAAAAGAGCUUUAUUCCAUACUUUUGAAGCAUUCUUCAAAGCUCAGAGAGCCUACUAAACGAAGCAGUCCAGUUAAUCUGCCUAGAGCUCCUCAGUUCAGCUCUCUUUACAAAAGAAAUCCAACCAGACAUUUUUAAGAGCAAUUAUUUUUUUAUGAAAAGGAAAUAACUAAGACCUAGAAAGGCACAUUAGGGGCUAGAAGACACACCAAUCAGGAAAUGGUUUAAGAUCCCCAUUCAGCUCAAUUUGUUUUAAAGUAUUUCAAACCCCAUGAAUACUGCAAAUUCUACAAAUAGCCAAGUGGCUGGGAGACACAGUGCAUAUUGCCAAACAGAUUUAAAUGCAAAACCAAGAGUUUUGUUUCCCAAAGCUGUAGAGGGUGAUUAUAACACUGUCCAGUCUUAACGCAAAGCAAGUUUCUGUUGUUUUUAUGUAUUUCUCUACCACAGUCCUAAUGUUCUCCUUCUGUGCAAAUACACAUACAGAAGAAUAAGCACAUGCAGAAAUUUGGUAGUUCUAAGUGGCAUGGAUUUGGCAAAACUGUACCCUGCUUCACAGCAUUAUCAACUACAAGCAUUCAAGCAUUAUCAAAUGUUCCCUGUACUUGGUCUUGGGAUCGGAAUUGCAAUAAUUUUAAAAUAUAUUUAAUAAUGAUAUUUUAGACUUUAAUUUUCAUUUUUAAAACUUGUGAAAAUCUAAACCAUAUCUUAAAUUUAUGUGAGAAACAUGAAACCUAGGAAUUUAUCUCUUUAUUCCAACAAAUCCUCAGAUUCUCACACAUGCAAAUAAUUUUAACAGAUAAAACACACAGAAAUGAACCAUGUAUCACAGGACUGUGAUAACCUGAAAGUUGAUUGUGUGGGCUGCAGUUUAGUUUUAUUGCUUCUAGAAGUUCAUGGGCACCGUCCUGUGAAAGGGUACAAGUCAGUUCUAAUCCUGACCUUUAAGUAACUGGCAUUCUGCAGAUAUUCCAGCAUUUCUAAUUUAUGGGACCAGGAGAAUUUGCUCUUUUUUGUCAAAAAGUAAGCCAUCUGAAUCUCUUAGUCUGAGUGGGAAACAUGCAGAUAAUUGAAAGAAAUGAAGGCAAUAUUUCCUGAUUUUUCUGGAAAAAAAAACAUACUCCCACUUAGAAAAUCAGAUACUCAGCUGUGUCUGCAGGGUAUAGUAAAGCCAUGAUACAACCUUUCAGCAGUACCAAAGAGACUUCCAAAGUCCUUUGCAAGAUUAGCAAGACAGAACAAUUCAGUACAGUUCAGCAUAUUUCACUCAAGACUGUUGAUUGCAAAAGCACAUUUUCUUUCCACUUAAUGACAUUUCUGAUUUUUAAGGCUUGCACAAGAAUGUUGAAGUAUGUAGGCUGCUCCAAAAGUAAUGCCUCUGGAAUACUCGUGGGAAAGUUCAACCUCUACUGUCAUACCACCACCAUCCACCUCUGACAUCUUGGGCCAACAUAAUAAAAUAGGAGGCAUUACUUUCCGAGCAGCCCUCAUAUAUGGAGCUGAAUAAGCAGAAACAGUGACAUACAGAAUGCCUGAAAUCUGAUCAAAGACAAGAUGUCUGAGACAUUUCAUAAGCAAAUGCAACUCUCUGAAGAGUUAAUUAAAACAAUUUGCUGAGAGAUAAUACCUGAAAUAAUGUGUUAAAUAAAAAAUAAUAAAUGGGAAUUAAAAUGGAACAUGAGUAUAGCCAAAUGGCAAUGCUCAGAAUUUCUAAGACACACAGAAUUAGCUAUAAUUUAGGGAAGAGGUUUUCAGCAAAGAAGCACUGUGUCAAAUAUGCAGUGUCAGUGAAAGCAGUCAAUUUCCAAGUUUCAGCACAAGUUGUACCAUGCACUUCACAGCAAAUUGAAAGUAUAUCAACAAGCAUGUAGUUGGACAGCAAGGCUGUGAUAACGAUUGAUCAUGCAAAGAAAGACUCCUGGAUUUCAUAAAAAUGCAUAAGACAAAAACUUUUUUUAGGUUUUAAGUUUGUAAUACUGGAAAUAAUUAAUCGUAAAGAAGGUUGUGAUACCUAUUCUUGCAAAUCUGUCUGGUCACUCUCAUUCCUGUGUAUCAGUCCUGCAAAUAACACUGAAGCUGAACAAAACUAAGGCUAAGACAGUUUUUCAGUUUCUUCAAGUACUCAAAAUACUAGUGCUGAUAUUCAUUCCCUGACAAAAUCUUACCUAAUCACUAACAGUGUGCAACAAAUAAACGCUGCAAAAGAAUGCCAGAUGAAUGAAUUGUUUAGAUUUUAUUGAGUAUUUACUGCUAUUUUUAUUUGGCAUUAUAUGUGCUUUUAUUUGCAUUAAAAGGUAAAUGAAAUGAAGUUUCACCUUCAAUAUUCAAUUAGAUUUAUUUAGGCAUUAAAAUAAUUGACUGUUUUGCAGAAUCUACCUUCAUUUCAGCCAGAGUUUGUAUCUUUUGUCAUUAUCUGUUCCUAACCUUCAAAGAAUGUUUCAAGAAAGAUGUUUAUAAAAACCUCUUUUUGUUCUGCUAACCUUGCAAACUAAACAUGUUCCAUUUAUUUUUAAAUUAAGUGAAAAUUAGCCAGGUGUGAUAGAUAAGCUUUCUAUACACAGUUCUAAAUAUUGACAAAAGGAGACGUGUCACUGGAAAAAUCAUCAGUCUAGCAAUUAUCACGUUAGCAUGUUAAGUGGAAAAAGAUGUGAAACUUCCAAAUGUGUCAAUACAGAUUAAUUCAUUUCCACUAGCUAUCAGCUAUACUGUGAACAUCAGUGCCUUAAUGUAUACUCAGCAGCGUCUUGGCAUUUGCAAGUAAAUACUUAGAAGCAGUUUACAGAAUUGCCAGAUCUGUGGCAAAAUCAUGUAUAACUCCUUCAGAAAUGAACUGCAGAGCAAACUUCUCCAGAAAUUCUGAGCAUUACUGUAGAGAAGGUCAGACAGUACAGGGAGAGGGAUGGAAGUCAGGAUUAGGAACAAGCAGUCAGCAAGGAAUAUAUUUCUCACAGAAAUAGCAGGAUCUUCCAGAUCCAAAUUUGCAUAGGCAGGGAAAAGAGGAGAAGGACCCAACCACUGUAUCCCUGCAGAUGAAGCAGCAGCUAAGAACAAAAUGUGCUAAGCAGCAUUUUUAUUAGCAGUCCAGAAACCAGCUGUGAUUUUAACAGCUGGCUCUGCCACAUUAAAUCUCGUCUCCUUCAGUGAAACUCUGGGCCUUUUACAACUGUAUGCCCAAAACUUAAAGAGGAUUUGUAACAAAAAAGAAAAGCUUUUCCACACUUUCUCCCAACUACUCAUUUGUGAUCCUUAUGUAUUAAGAAUUUAUCAGGUAAUAAAUGUACAUUCCAUUUUCAUAAUCUAGUCAAUAUCACAUUAUUUGCAAGCCAGCUUAACCUUCUCCAUUGCUUCUGUUCAUUUAAAAAAAAAAAAAUUGCAAGAAGUUAAGGUGUCACCAAUAAGUGGCAGACAAAGAAGAGUUGGAGACAGAAAAAUGAUCCAUGCCCUUAAACAGGGUGCAUUUAAAGAUAGGCAUUUAUUUACAAUGUAAAAAAUGUAACCCACUCCAAGAGCACUGAGUGGACUGUCAACAUAGGUUUGAAGUUUAAACUCUUUCUAGUGAAUAAACACACUGAUAGUUUUGUGGGAGCUGGCGAUGGAGAAAAUCACAGUUUUCUCACAGAAAAUCAUAGCUCUCAGGAUACAAUAUUUUGGAGAGGGAACUUACAGAAAGUACUUAACACUAUGUGACCUACCAGCAUGAAAUAAUUCCUUUUGAGAUCAAUUAAGCUUUCUUUCAAGUAUAUAACAUAAUCUAAGUUGUGUCUGUUUUGGUUGGUUUUUAUGUGUAAGUCUUUUUUAAAAAAUCUUGUUUUAAAAAUUUGGUGUUAUGUGAUAUGCGCUCAAAACAUGAGAUAUUUUUAGUAAUGAUUAAUCUGAUAUGUAUCAAUAGAAGGUCAGCAUCAUGAGCAGAGCCUGAAACAAAGUCUGGUGAAGGCUACAGACAGAAUCCAUCCAAUUCAGUGACUUUUGUUUCAGUCCAUUAAUAAAUUAUUCCAGGCUACAUUAUGCAAUUUGCAUGGAUCGUUUUGCUAACAGCUACAGUACAUUACUAUUGUAUUUUGGUUAAAUUAAGUACUACCUUUGCAGAUUCCUCUAUGAAGUGCUGUAAAAGGUAUGAAGAUAAGGUAGGACUGAUGAUGCAACUUGGCCACAGAAACCCAGUUACUAAGGUCCUGGGCUUAUUUGUAAUGGCAUUUACUGUAGUAUGGCCUAAUAGACCUUCUUUGGGGAAGGUCUUUUCAAUUGUAUUUGCAUUAAUUUUUUUGUAGAAACAUACUUACCUGUUAUUUUCAGCCUCUUUUCCUCCAGAAGUGCACUACGCAGAUGGCUGGUGGAAUGGUGCUAACAUAGUUCAAAGCCUGAAACUUUGUCCAAAGAAAGUACUGGCAGAUUAUUAAGAUGUGUUAUCUUCACAUCUAUUUCUUUCAAGAGUUUUUCUAUUCUUUGACUUUUAUGUGAGAACUUCCAAGAACAAAAAACAAUGACAAAAAGACUACAUCCAGAUAAAUAUCACAAUUUAUACACAAAAUGCCUCAGUGAACAAUUCAAGUUUUCCUACAUUUCUAUGUAAGUAGUUUUAAAUUUAAGAUAUUGUGAUUGUCCUAUUGUCAGAGGAAGCCAAAGCACCAUACCCAUGCAUCCCUUUUUGAAUGCUCUCAGGAGUCCAGGACAUGCAAUCUUCUGCAACAAGCAAGAAAAAGUAUUUCAAGAUAAAAUUUCAAAAGCAAGCAGGAAAGAUAUUUUAAGGUUUCCUUUAUGUCGUUUUUACUCUUCCUUGGUGCUCAGCAUCAUGAAAAUUUGGCCCCAAGUCAUAGAGAUUUUAGGCAACAGUUUCCCCAUGUUAAAUUUUAAAAGUAGUUGCCAUAGCAACUGCCAGACACAGCAUAUGGUGUGUCUGUUACCUCCAAGAUAACAGAGCAAUUUCUAAAGAAUUUUCUUUACAAUAUGUUAUGAACCUUUGUACUUUUUACAAUUUUUUAGAGUGCAGUAUAAGGUACUGUUGUUCCCUGACAUUCUCUUCAAGUUGAAUGCUCAUUUUGUAACUCUCUAUUUCACAUUAGGCAAAUAUUUCCCUCUUUUCUUUCUCUUUUUAUUCUCCCCAUUUUCAGCAAAACAUGUAAGAUUAAAGUGGGGGAAGAACAGACAUCUAUUAAGCUUUACCUAAAGACUGUAUCUAGUUAGAAUAUCACCUUUCUUUCACACUGACAAUCCAAAAGACAAAAAUAUGAAAAAAAAGGCAAAAUACAGAAGAUGACAAAAAUCUUAGUAAAACUUUUAAAAACAGGUCCUGGGCAGACAGGCAUUUUGCAGAACUGUCUGCAGUCUUCAACCCACUGACUCUCAUACUUGCCUAACUUCUCACCAUCAAUGAAAAAUUAGUAUCUGUGCAAAGUGACCUUAAACAAAGGGAAUUCAAAAAUACAACCUGUCAUCUGUUGUUUGGUAGGUACCACCAUUCUCCUUGAAUAGCAAAGAAUAUUGCAGUCCCUCUUCGAACAUGACUUGACCCUAAGGUUUAGCUCUCAAAAAGAAAACCCUUAGGACAGUUUGCAAGUGGGAUUGCACUACCUGCCUUCCUCCACACCGGUGAGAAGACCCCACUGUCCAGCACGGCUUCCAACAGCUAAGAAUCUCAAUGCGAACACUGCUUUGUAGAAUCACAUGCAGCUUCUUGAGAUAAGGAAAAUAGGUCUUUAUUCCUUCUUAUGCCCUUUUGUGGUUGUAUAGGCUGAGACAGAAUUAGAAGAAUAGUUACUAGGAUACGUAAUAAUGUUCUGUUCUGUAAUUCUUUGUCCCUUGAGUCCUUCAUUCUGACAACUUUCUACCAUUAAGAAACCUUCUGAACAAAUCUCCAAAAAAAUUAAAACAUAAAACUCCACCAAAACAGGAUAUAUGACUGCACAUUUAAUUCUCCUCCUUGAGGAGAAGCCAAGAAAGAGAAUGAGUCACUCAUUAUACACUUAGCUUAAUGCACAACCACAAGGUGCUGACACUACCCCAAUGAAGAUAAAUGAUAACAGAUAACAGAAUCAAAUAUUUUAAAGGGGACUUUGUAUGUAGUCAUUUAUUUACUUAUUUAAUAUUGUUAUUUAUGAUGAAAAGAGGAAUAAUUCUGUAAUUUGAAUUGCAUUAAACUACCUUCAAGAAAUAGCUGGCCAACUGUUUUGCAAAUAAAUGUUUCUAUUUAAUUAAAAGGUUGUAAGUUUUGUUGCGGCAAUUAACAGCAUAGAUACUUUCUAUCUAAGAGUAGGAGGGUCAUGUGUGAGUUUCACCUAAUUUUAGUCAGAUGCUAUAAAUUUAUUCAUCUAGGGCAUUUAAGAGAUGAAAAUAACUUACUGUGUCCUGACUGACUGGAGGAUGGUAAGGAAUAUGACAUAACAUAUACAUAAUAGUAAAUUAAUAAAAAAAUAAAAUAUUGUAUAUGAAGUUAUAAUGAACUGAAAAUUCUAUCACAUAGGAAGACAGUGUUUUCUUUUAUGCUCUAGAUCAUGAGUUGAGGUCAAUUUGAUACUCAUAAAUGUAGUUUCCCCUGAACUGUAAUUUCAUAGUUUCUUAUGGCUUAGUUUUCCUUUUAGCCUACAUAAAGAUAAUAAUUAUUUUUCUGUAAAAGAAAUAAAGCUUCUAGGAAGCAUAGAAUAAAAUGCUCCAAACUCUUGAAAUCAUCAGAAUCAUAAGACUGUAUAGCCUAUUUACAAAACCUAGCUAUCUCAGCAUGUGUUUUUGCAAACUAUGGCAAACAGGAUUCACAGUACAAAUUGAAGAUUAAGUAUCAUGUAAACAAUAGACAAACUUACACUGGAUUAUUUAUAACACAGUAAAUCACAAAUAUAACAGCUAUGAACAAAUUGUUAUGUUGUUGUUAUUGUUUAUGGCUGCAUAAAAGGCUAGGAUGCAUAAACAGAGGUAUAAGCCAUAAGACACGUGGACUAUUUCUUCUAUUCUCCUAAACUUUGGAAAGGUCUAAUCUGAAAUACUGUCUCCAGCUUUAAGAAGCCCACAUCAAGGCACAGAGAAUUUUUUUUUUCUCUAUAGGAAGUGAGAAAGAAUUAUCAGAGACUUAGAACAUCUGUCAAGACUAAAGGAGUUGUUUAGUUUUUAAAAAAUAAAAGAAAAAUGACCGAAGUCUUGCAACAGGAAGACUGCUACAGUGGAGAUGUGACUAUUCUGUUCUCAUCAUUGAAAGGACGGGAUAUAAUAUGCUUCAGUUACAGGAACAAAGAUUGAAUAAAGAUACGACAGUGUCUGAGGUCAUCCAAUUGAAACCUGUUUGAAAUCAGGUUUAACUGGAAGUUGAAAAACAACUGUAAAAUGAGAAGAAUUUACAAAGAGCUUUUUCCAGCUCUAUUUUUUUUUUUUACACAUGUAUGUUUUCAUUAUUUCCUUUAAUUCUAGAAUUCUGCAAGAGUUCUUCAAGAGAUGUCACGGUUGCAUCUUUUCUGAUUAAUUUGUUAUUUAGGACACAAGAAGAGUCUCUACAGGCCCAACACUACAAUUUUUGGCAAUGAUCCCUUUCCAUGUAACUGGGCAUAUUCCAUGUGCACUAACUGACAUCUCCAGAUGGGAGAAGAAGAAAAGAGAAAGAGGCCUCAAUUAAACUACCAUUGCAUUAGCUUUCUAAACCUCUGCCUUAUUUUCCAGAAUAGGACAAGAGAGCCUGUUUCUUGUCGAUGACAAAAUGGCAGAACAAAUGCUAUUCCAAAAAUUCCAUGGAAGAGACAAAACAGUUACCAUAUUCAGGUUGCCAGCACUGACGUGGGAGAUCUCCUCACCUGCCUCUUUUACCUUUUUCCCCAUGGCUGACAGGAGCUCUAGGUGUGGAAAUCCACUAUACGUUAAAAAGAACAAUGACAAAUAAAUAACUUUCAGAUAAAGAACAAACAUCACAGAUCUGUCCAAGGCUAUGAUGCAUCAGCCCCCCCUUCUUCAGUAAGUCCGUCUGGGUGGAGGAUUGUCAUCACCUUCAGUGCCUUUACUACCUCAUCUACCCUUAUAGGUCAACAAGCAACUAGUACAGAGUGAACAAGUCCACUCUGAGUAUGGUUAUGGUGGAGAGUUGAAAACAUGCCUUCCAGAUCAUGUAACAACUAGCAGCUAUGCAGGUCUCUGCCCAAUGUGCAAAAGUCAUUGAACAGAUUCACAUCCCAUAGAGUACUACUCUCCACACGACUUAUACUGAGGAACGAUCUACAAGAACUAACAUCCUGUAAAACCUGCUAGCUUAUGGCUGUCAUUAUUUUGUUGCAUUAGACAUAUACUUGACAGCAGAGACUCUGAAAACUGCUAAAGGAACUCUCUCCUACUUAGAUACCGCUUUCUUAUGAUAUGUCUUUCCACUUAAACCUGAUUUUUUCUAAUCUGCUUGGGCCACAUGAUGUACAAAAUGAGGCAGAAAGAAGCAGAUUCAGUCUUGGACAGAAUAAGCAAAGGGGAGGUCUUAUUUCUGUCUUCAGCUACUUAAUAGGAGAGUAUGGAAGAAUAGAGCCAGAAUUUUCUCAGGGUGUUCAGUAAUAGGAUGAGAGGUGGUGGACACAAAUUGCAACAUGGAGAAUUCCUUUUAGGUGCUAGGAAAAAUACUUGUAUCAUGGUCAAACAAAAGAAAAGAUUUUAAGUUGUGGCAUCACCACCACUCAAGACUCAGACAAGUAACCUAUUUAAGUCAGUGUAGCUGAGUCAGGCCAGAUGACCUCAGGAGAUCUAUUCCAACCUAAAUGAUUUGGUGAUUCUGAAAGUUUAUUCAACUCCAAUCUAGGAAAGUUCAGAAGGCAGUGUUUGUCAUUGAAGAAACUAACUGAAAAUCUGAGGAAGCCUGAGAGAAUAAGUGAAAGGAUGAGACUUAUCAAAAAGUAGUUUGUGCGACAGAGAAUUUGCUAUUGUUCCCUUUGGGACAUAUUCUUUCUGUGUUGGCAUGGAGCACAUUGAUUCAGUAGAGUUAUUUCUCACACAAAAAAAACCCCAACAGAUAGAUAGCACAGAAUCAACUCCUAAACAUGAACAUACCAAACACAAAACAACUGAUAAGUUUAUUUUCAGUGCUGCUUAUUCUAUUUUGGGAAACAAAUCCCAAUAAGAUAUUUUUUAAGCACCUCCAUAAUUAAGUGUAAGUGAAGUAUAUCACUACAGCAUAUUAGUGACUCCAUGUAAACAUGGAGUUUUCCUCCCGAAUGCUUAUAAACAGGCAAGCCAUAGCCUCAUUUUCAGUUUUUUUUUCCACAUUAUAAAUUCAUUUUUCUCUUUGCAAAAUGUCACUUUCUUUCCAACAGGUUAAUCCCAGGAGGUCUGGUAACUACAAUUACUCCAUUUAAAUAUUCCACAUAUCUGUCAAGACUCAAAAGAAUUCUGUAGUGUCAGUUUAAAUAUAAAUAUAUAUAAUUCUAGAUAAUAAUCAUCACUUCAAGUCUGUUAUGAAAACUGUAUUACUCAUUCAAAGAGUGUGUGAUGUUGUGUACAUGUGCAGCAUUUGUUGCAGCAUUUUCAUUGAUUUAUUGGUUAGAACAACCAUACUAACUAUAAAACAUCAAUGAUCUCAUAUAGAAAACAAUGCUCUUAGAAGGUAAACUUGUCAAUAAGGUUUUAUGCUAAUUGUUUAAGGAAAAAGCACCAGAAAUUACAUAGCUUUUCAUAUAAAGAAAGUUGAAAAUGUACACAAUACUGUAAAAGCAACCUCUAGGUAAACAUACUCAAUGCUUUUCACUUCUUUAUCAUUUUCAUCUGAACCAAAUAUUUUUCAUUUGCUGAUGAUCAGAACUUUCUUUUUUUCUUGGUUGGGUUUCAGAAAGUUUGGGAAGUUAACUAUUUUCUGCCAUCUUUCUUCUAAAUAUCCUGAAACACUACCACAAAAAAAAAAAAAAAAAAAAAGCAUCUUAAUAGUUUGGAUGUGGGAAUACAAGAAAGGCUAUUCAGAGCAGGAGGUGGAGCAAGAUAAACAGCAUGAUAAGGCAAGGCUGAGAACCAAGGACAUCUCCGGAAAGAAGAGAAAAGCAAAGUCAAGUGAGCUGUGUGAUGGCUGCGUGAUAAUGACUGUGAUUGGAGGAAGAGUGCGUGGCUAGGAACGACUGAUGGCUCUGAUUGGAUAAGUGCCUACAUGCACAGUUAAGGACUGUUGGUGGAAUGUUGUGUUGACAUGUAAAGGCUGGUGGGAAAGUUAAAAGAGAAAACUUGUGAAUGUAUAUAAGGGAUGUUAGAAACUGCAAUAAACAAUUCGGAUCGUUCA
Numida meleagris (helmeted guineafowl) is the source of this 15366-nucleotide long non-coding RNA. RefSeq lists it as uncharacterized. NCBI's taxonomy places the organism in Eukaryota, Metazoa, Chordata, Aves, Galliformes, Numididae. The record is from RefSeq and is a predicted model, not a curated record. The transcript has 7 exons.